Molecule: ribosomal RNA, 608 nt
Filed under: Nitrosomonas sp.
Lineage: Bacteria; Pseudomonadati; Pseudomonadota; Betaproteobacteria; Nitrosomonadales; Nitrosomonadaceae
Description: bacterial SSU rRNA
Rfam family: Bacterial small subunit ribosomal RNA
Source: RNAcentral
UAAAGCUCUUUUAGUCGGAAAGAAAGAGUCAUAGUAAAUAGCUAUGAUUUAUGACGGUACCGACAGAAAAAGCACCGGCUAACUACGUGCCAGCAGCCGCGGUAAUACGUAGGGUGCGAGCGUUAAUCGGAAUUACUGGGCGUAAAGGGUGCGCAGGCGGUGUUGUAAGUCAGAUGUGAAAGCCCCGGGCUUAACCUGGGAAUUGCGUUUGAAACUACAAGGCUAGAGUGCAGCAGAGGGGAGUGGAAUUCCAUGUGUAGCAGUGAAAUGCGUAGAGAUGUGGAAGAACACCGAUGGCGAAGGCAGCUCCCCUGGGUUGACACUGACGCUCAUGCACGAAAGCGUGGGGAGCAAACAGGAUUAGAUACCCUGGUAGUCCACGCCCUAAACUAUGUCAACUAGUUGUCGGAUCUAAUUAAGGAUUUGGUAACGUAGCUAACGCGUGAAGUUGACCGCCUGGGGAGUACCGUCGCAAGAUUAAAACUCAAAGGAAUUACCGGGACCCGCACAAGCGGUGGAUAUGUGGAUUAAUUCGAUGCAACGCGAAAAACUUACCUACCCUUGACAUGCUUGGAAUCUAAUGGAGACAUAAGAGUGCCCGAAAGGGA